AUUGAACGCUGGCGGCAGGCCUAACACAUGCAAGUCGAACGAGUAGCGGACGGGUGAGUGAUGUCUUGGAAACUGCCUGAUGGAGGGGGAUAACGACUGGAAACGGUAGAUAAUACCGCAUACCAUCGGAUGUGCCCCGGUGUGAUUAGCUAGUAGGUGUGGUAAAGGCUCACCUAGGCGACGAUCCCUAGCUGGUCUGAGAGGAUGACCAGCCACACUGGAACUGAGACACGGUCCAGACUCCUACGGGAGGCAGCAGUGGGGAAUAUUGCACAAUGGGCGCAAGCCUGACGCAGCCAUGCCGCGUGGAUGAAGAAGGCCUUCGGGUUGUAAAGUACUUGCAGCGGGGAGGCGUUACCCGCAGAAGAAGCAACGGCUAACUCCGUGCCAGCAGCCGCGGUAAUUC
This 406-nucleotide ribosomal RNA is filed under the name uncultured bacterium. RNAcentral describes it as "partial 16S ribosomal RNA". It matches the Rfam family "Bacterial small subunit ribosomal RNA", at positions 30 to 526 of the family's 1533-position model. The record is from RNAcentral.